AAAAAUCAUUCAUAUGUUUUAAUACAAUAAGUUUGAUUACUUAAUUUCAAUUGAAGUUUACAGAUAUUGGUGUAUCGGGAAGAAAUCAAGAGAUAAACAUGAACUCUCAAAAGUAUUCGGAUGUUCAAUUCAGAACACACAGUAUUCGUGCGCCUUUUCAAAAUAUUGGUAUGAAAUAAGUAGGAAAGCAAAAUUCCAAGAUUGAUUUUAUCAUAGUCCAUUCUUUUGUAUCUAAAUUCAAAAAUGGGUUACUCACCG
RNAcentral lists this long non-coding RNA (258 nucleotides) under Mytilus galloprovincialis (Mediterranean mussel). Lineage: Eukaryota; Metazoa; Mollusca; Bivalvia; Mytilida; Mytilidae. The record is from RNAcentral.